Otolemur garnettii (small-eared galago) is the source of this 126-nucleotide small nuclear RNA. NCBI's taxonomy places the organism in Eukaryota, Metazoa, Chordata, Mammalia, Primates, Galagidae. The record is from Ensembl.
AUGUCGUAUGAAAGGAGAGAAGGUGAGCACUCCCCUUGACAAGGAUGGAAGAGGCCCUGGGGCCUGACAACAUGCACAGGGUUAAGGCACUGGCACCUACUUGGUGGCCUCUGACCAUCGUUUUUG